GAUGAACGCUGGCGGCGUGCCUAACACAUGCAAGUCGAGCGAUUAAACGAGGACCUUACUGCUCUGAUGUUAGCGGCGGAUGGGUGAGUAACACGAGGAUAACCCACCUAUAACACUUUGUUAACUUCUGGAUACCGGCGUUAAUACUCGUUAACAUGCUGAACCGCAUGGUUCAUCAGUCAAAGACGGUCUUGCUGUCUCUUAUAGAUGGACCCGCGUCGUAUUAGCUAGUUGGUAAGGUAACGGCUUACCAAGGCAACGAUGCGUAGCCGACCUGAGAGGAUGGUCGGCCACACUGGAGCUGAGACGCGGUGGAGACUCCUAAGGGAGGCAGCAGUAGGGAAACAUACGCAAAAGGCGAGGGAAGGACGAGGCAACGCCGCGUGGGUAGAGAAGGUCUGCGGAGGGUAAAACGCUGUUGUUGGGGAAGAACAAAUGUGUAAUUAACUGUGCAUGUCUUGACGGUACCUGAUCAGUAAGCCACGGCUAACUACGUG
RNAcentral lists this ribosomal RNA (497 nucleotides) under uncultured bacterium. RNAcentral's name for it is "partial 16S ribosomal RNA". It matches the Rfam family "Bacterial small subunit ribosomal RNA", at positions 28 to 507 of the family's 1533-position model. The record is from RNAcentral.